Long non-coding RNA from Setaria italica (foxtail millet), 779 nucleotides. RefSeq lists it as uncharacterized. The record is from RefSeq and is a predicted model, not a curated record. The transcript is spliced from 4 exons. NCBI's taxonomy places the organism in Eukaryota, Viridiplantae, Streptophyta, Magnoliopsida, Poales, Poaceae.
AAUCAUCAGCAGCUGUGAGAAGCUCUGCUCUGUGUCAGGAGACCUGUGUGCACUCGAGGAACUACAUAUUUUUAACUGCAAUAAGUUACAGUCAGUCAAUUCAUUGGGAGACCACCCAUCAUUAGAAACACUGUUUCUUUCUGGCUGCCGAUGCCUUGCAUCUUUAGGAUGUGAUGGUGGUCGUGGGAGUUACUCUGCUCUUCAGAGCCGUAAGAUCGAAUACUGCCCAGCCAUAGACAUGAAGCAGUUUUACUAACGCCAUCAAACAGCUGCUUGACAGCUUUGUAUAGGAAGACGUAUCACACGUUCAUUCAAGCAGCUCUGAUGAAGUCUUGGAUGCAGUUGACGUGCAUAGAGAAAUUCUAGAAAUAUGUGAUAUCCCUUGGUGUUGAGAUCAGCUGAUGCGGAAUCACUGAAACGAGAUCCUGAUCGGUCUCAGUUUUGGAGAGCAAUUUCUGGUGAAUGGAAGCAGUCCCAAGGCUUGAAGAACUCAUGGAGUCGUACCGUACCAUUCUCCGCUGCCAGGGCCUAAACUAGACAUCAACCAUUUGUUCUUAAAUUAAAGCAUAAAGGAGGGCACUCACUUGUACACAUAUUCUUAAGUACUGGAACGACUGCCAUCUGUAUACUCAGCUUCAUUGCAAGUCUCUGCUAACGAUGACAGGCCUGCAGUGGAUGACAAAAACGACUAAGUUUGUUUUCACGGCACUACUAGCUGCUGGAGAGCUGCCCCACUAUAUUAAAAAGAAGGGACGCUCGAAGGGCCAGAGAAGUGUACA